RNAcentral lists this ribosomal RNA (252 nucleotides) under uncultured bacterium. RNAcentral's name for it is "partial 16S ribosomal RNA". It matches the Rfam family "Bacterial small subunit ribosomal RNA", at positions 524 to 776 of the family's 1533-position model. The record is from RNAcentral.
UACGUAGGUGGCAAGCGUUGUUCGGAAUAACUGGCGUAAAGGAUGCGUAGGCGGUUAAACAAGUUAUAUGUUAAAUAUAUAGGCUUAACCUGUAGAAAGCAUAUAAAACUGUUUAACUAGAGUGCAGGAGAGGUAAGUGGGAUUCCUAGUGUAGCGGUGAAAUGCGUAGAGAUUAGGAAGAACACCAGUGGCGAAGGCGACUUACUGGACUGUAACUGACGCUGAGGCAUGAGAGCAUGGGGAGCAAACAGG